RNAcentral lists this transfer RNA (789 nucleotides) under Asaia bogorensis. Its description in RNAcentral is "partial miscellaneous RNA". The stretch from base 135 to 208 matches the Rfam family "tRNA". The record is from RNAcentral. Lineage: Bacteria; Pseudomonadati; Pseudomonadota; Alphaproteobacteria; Acetobacterales; Acetobacteraceae.
UGCGGCUGGAUCACCUCCUUUCAAGGAUGUUUCCUGACACGUUGGGAAACGCCGAAAUAAAGACCUGCAUUGGAUCAGUGCAGGCAACGGAUGGCCUCAGGGCGCCGUCAACAUAUCCCUUCCUGUAAUGUUUUGGGCUAGUAGCUCAGUUGGUUAGAGCACACGCUUGAUAAGCGUGGGGUCGGAGGUUCAAGUCCUCCCUGGCCCACCACGACUGUGGUGGUUUCGAGCCUUGAGAGAGCGAAGUUCAUUGAUGACUAUCGAUGAUGCUUUGCCGAUCUUGACUGGGGGCGUAGCUCACCUGGGAGAGCACCUGCUUUGCAAGCAGGGGGUCGUCGGUUCGAUCCCGUCCGCCUCCACCAGAAACCACACCGGUAUACGCUGCUUGGCGAAAGCUUUGAGCGGCAUGAUGGUGCGAUAACAUUACAGGUUAAGGGAAAAAUGUUUCCUCCCUGCCGCACUUUGGUGCGGGAGCGAUGAAAAAGUCUGUUCUUUGUCAGUGUGAAUAGGUUGGUGCACUUUCUGGGUGCUGCCACGAUCCGGGUUGGUCUGACCCAUGUGGAUCGGUUUUGGGUUCCUGGACUUUGGUCCGGGAGGCUCUGAUCCGGUCUCGUGUUAAGGAUUGUGGCGUAUAGCGGUCAGAGAGUGUUUUAUAAGUAUGAUGAACUUUGCGUGCGAUGCAUUGCAUUUUCUCUGCGCAGGAAACUCUGAAGCGCGCGAGCGUGGAUGGUUGCUGUGCAUGUGUAGUGUGUGAGCAUGAGAAGGGCAUUCGGUGGAUGCCUUGGCAUC